Molecule: transfer RNA, 87 nt
Filed under: Candidatus Kerfeldbacteria bacterium CG08_land_8_20_14_0_20_40_16
Lineage: Bacteria; Candidatus Kerfeldiibacteriota
Description: tRNA-Leu
Rfam family: tRNA
About the family: Transfer RNA (tRNA) molecules are approximately 80 nucleotides in length. Their secondary structure includes four short double-helical elements and three loops (D, anti-codon, and T loops).
Source: RNAcentral
GGGCGAGUGGCGGAAUUGGUAGACGCGUACGACUCAAAAUCGUAUGAGCGUAAGCUCAUGAGAGUUCGAUUCUCUCCUUGCCCACCA